RNAcentral lists this non-coding RNA (25 nucleotides) under Rattus norvegicus (Norway rat). The record is from RNAcentral. Lineage: Eukaryota; Metazoa; Chordata; Mammalia; Rodentia; Muridae.
UGUAAUUAUACCAAUAACUUCGCCU